AGAGUUUGAUCCUGGCUCAGAUUGAACGCUGGCGGCAGGCCCAACACAUGCAAGUCGAGCGGUAGAGAGAAGCUUGCUUCUCUUGAGAGCGGCGGACGGGUGAGUAAUGCCUAGGAAUCUGCCUGGUAGUGGGGGAUAACGUUCGGAAACGGACGCUAAUACCGCAUACGUCCUACGGGAGAAAGCAGGGGACCUUCGGGCCUUGCGCUAUCAGAUGAGCCUAGGUCGGAUUAGCUAGUUGGUGGGGUAAUGGCUCACCAAGGCGACGAUCCGUAACUGGUCUGAGAGGAUGAUCAGUCACACUGGAACUGAGACACGGUCCAGACUCCUACGGGAGGCAGCAGUGGGGAAUAUUGGACAAUGGGCGAACGCCUGAUCCAGCCAUGCCGCGUGUGUGAAGAAGGUCUUCGGAUUGUAAAGCACUUUAAGUUGGGAGGAAGGGCAGUUACCUAAUACGUAAUUGUUUUGACGUUACCGACAGAAUAAGCACCGGCUAACUCUGUGCCAGCAGCCGCGGUAAUACAGAGGGUGCAAGCGUUAAUCGGAAUUACUGGGCGUAAAGCGCGCGUAGGUGGUUUGUUAAAGUUGGAUGUGAAGUCCCCGGGC
This 606-nucleotide ribosomal RNA is filed under the name uncultured bacterium. RNAcentral describes it as "bacterial SSU rRNA". It matches the Rfam family "Bacterial small subunit ribosomal RNA", at positions 8 to 608 of the family's 1533-position model. The record is from RNAcentral.